RNAcentral lists this ribosomal RNA (492 nucleotides) under uncultured bacterium. RNAcentral's name for it is "partial 16S ribosomal RNA". It matches the Rfam family "Bacterial small subunit ribosomal RNA", at positions 29 to 507 of the family's 1533-position model. The record is from RNAcentral.
AGUGAACGCUGGCGGUAGGCCUAACACAUGCAAGUCGAACGGCAGCACAGUAAGAGCUUGCUCUUACGGGUGGCGAGUGGCGGACGGGUGAGGAAUACAUCGGAAUCUACUUUUUCGUGGGGGAUAACGUAGGGAAACUUACGCUAAUACCGCAUACGACCUACGGGUGAAAGCAGGGGAUCUUCGGACCUUGCGCGAUUGAAUGAGCCGAUGUCGGAUUAGCUAGUUGGCGGGGUAAAGGCCCACCAAGGCGACGAUCCGUAGCUGGUCUGAGAGGAGGAUCAGCCACACUGGAACUGAGACACGGUCCAGACUCCUACGGGAGGCAGCAGUGGGGAAUAUUGGACAAUGGUCGCAAGCCUGAUCCAGCCAUACCGCGUGGGUGAAGAAGGCCUUCGGGUUGUAAAGCCCUUUUGUUGGGAAAGAAAAGCAGCAGGUUAAGACCCCGCUGUUCUGACGGUACCCAAAGAAUAAGCACCGGCUAACUUCGUG